GCCUUACAUUUACCGUGGUUUCAAUGCAGGUACACGCGGAAAGGCCAGCCAGCUGGCCACCUCUGGGCGGACCGCUUGGCCCCUUACGUGGCAACAUGGACCCAAGCGCUACAGGACGUUGUUGAUGAGGCGCGUCCCCACACCGAGGGAAACUUUAGGGAGUACCUACGGUGGUACGUACCUCGUACGCGGACUCGUGUCACCUACACCCCUGAUGAUGUCCGGGGCCACGUCGCAUCGACAACGGAGACAUACCCGGUGCAUUGGGACGAGGACGCCGCUUUAGCAACAGAUAUCAUUUAUGAUGUAAAUAGGGAUGCAGCUGCUGCCAUGGACCGCGUCCGGCAAGGGCAUCACCUAAGUGCGUCGGAUGUUGCGAGCUUCAUUAGACGGGUUUUCGACAAGACGACGCGCGCCCUGAAACUCACCUCCUGCCGAUCUACCACAGAUGUAGCAGGGCCGCCUCCCAGGACGAGUGGUGCACACGCCGAGUCGUCUCGGCCGUCAGACGUGCACCGCCGAUCUUCAGUGUCGGCACCCACACGACCCCUUCUGUCACGUCUUGGAGGGUCCGAGCAACAUGGUACGAAUUAUACUUUUGAAAAUUAUUGAUCAAUAUCCUUUACUUAUUGUUAUUAAACAUUCAUUAGGUCCGUCUGCACAAGUCCCGACGCAGCCUCGCAGAUUGAGCCCUGUACGUCCACAGUCAGGUACUCCGGGAACCCUUCUUCCUAAUUUCUAGUACUUUCAGCAAAAUAAGUUACAACUUUGCUCAGAUUACUUCGGUGACGAGGCCGGUCCGUCUUCGGCGGCCCCACACCCUACCCCCCCCCUCGCAACGUACUACGGCACGUCAGCGUGGCCUUCUUCUGCUGCACCGUCGUACCACGCAGGCCCCUCCAGCCAGUACACAUGGACGCCUGCCGAGCCUUCACAGUCCUCCUACCCUAGUCAGGAGGAUGAGGCUGGCCCCGACACCGCAUACGACAUCGUCCGUGACUUCUUCGGGGGCACACCUGACUACGACGUCCUUCAGCGGUCCCAGGUUUCCAGUGCACCGCUUCGGACCCAGCCCACGCAUGACGAACCCUCGACACCGGUGGUCCCUACUAGGCCUAGCAGACACGUCGGCCCACCUGACCCCCUCACCUACUCCAGGGGUCACGUGAGGGUUAACCAGCGGCAUCGGGACCACGAUGGGGCGCACGGACGACGGCAACGAGGGAGGCAUG
This is a long non-coding RNA of Phragmites australis (common reed), 1232 nucleotides long. RefSeq lists it as uncharacterized. The transcript is spliced from 3 exons. Lineage: Eukaryota; Viridiplantae; Streptophyta; Magnoliopsida; Poales; Poaceae. The record is from RefSeq and is a predicted model, not a curated record.